This 445-nucleotide ribosomal RNA is filed under the name Pseudomonas lurida. RNAcentral's name for it is "bacterial SSU rRNA". It matches the Rfam family "Bacterial small subunit ribosomal RNA", at positions 202 to 640 of the family's 1533-position model. The record is from RNAcentral. Lineage: Bacteria; Pseudomonadati; Pseudomonadota; Gammaproteobacteria; Pseudomonadales; Pseudomonadaceae.
UUCGGGCCUUGCGCUAUCAGAUGAGCCUAGGUCGGAUUAGCUAGUUGGUGGGGUAAUGGCUCACCAAGGCGACGAUCCGUAACUGGUCUGAGAGGAUGAUCAGUCACACUGGAACUGAGACACGGUCCAGACUCCUACGGGAGGCAGCAGUGGGGAAUAUUGGACAAUGGGCGAAAGCCUGAUCCAGCCAUGCCGCGUGUGUGAAGAAGGUCUUCGGAUUGUAAAGCACUUUAAGUUGGGAGGAAGGGUUGUAGAUUAAUACUCUGCAAUUUUGACGUUACCGACAGAAUAAGCACCGGCUAACUCUGUGCCAGCAGCCGCGGUAAUACAGAGGGUGCAAGCGUUAAUCGGAAUUACUGGGCGUAAAGCGCGCGUAGGUGGUUAGUUAAGGUGGGAUGUUGAAAUCCCCGGGCUCAACCUGGGAACUGCAUUCAAAACUGACUGA